Molecule: ribosomal RNA, 253 nt
Filed under: uncultured bacterium
Lineage: Bacteria
Description: partial 16S ribosomal RNA
Rfam family: Bacterial small subunit ribosomal RNA
Source: RNAcentral
UACAGAGGUCUCAAGCGUUGUUCGGAUUCAUUGGGCGUAAAGGGUGCGUAGGCGGCGCGGUAAGUCGGGUGUGAAAUCUCGGGGCUUAACUCCGAAACUGCAUUCGAUACUGCCGUGCUUGAGGACUGGAGAGGAGACUGGAAUUUACGGUGUAGCGGUGAAAUGCGUAGAUAUCGGAAGGAACACCAGUGGCGAAGGCGACUACCUGGCCUGUUCUUGACGCUGAGGCGCGAAAGCUAGGGGAGCAAACGGG